CAACAUAUCCCAAUGAAUGAAGCUAUGCUUUACAUUUCUUUAUCCCUCCAACAAGUCUCAAUAUCAAAACACAUAUAUGAGUACUCAAAUAUUAUGACAUGCCAACUAUAUUCAAUAGUUUCAAAAGAUCACAAGAUCAACAUAUCCAUGUUUCACAUAUAUUUUUCUGAUUUAUGCACACUUACACAUAUCACUAUCACAUCACUUUUCACAUAUUCAUAUCAUGCACUUUCUAGUGCAAGCACUUGCCCAUUAAGCCAUAUAUAUUUCAUAUGUGUGCACAAAACCAGUAGGUCUUAAGGCAUAUUCAGACAUGUACUCAUCACAUAUUAUCACAUUACACUUAAGCAAAUCACAUCACACAUAGGCUUUAUUUGCAAAGUAACAAGGCACAAAUAAGAUCACUUAGCCUUAGGACUUAGGAUAGGUGAUUAGCUCACCUAAACCCCACUUUAACUCACUACUUUGUGCAUUAAUUACAGCACACUAGAUCACUCACCUUUGCAACCUUGGUUUCAAUGACAAUGCUCAAGUAAGCUUUUGUUUUCCUUUUUCCUUACUUGUAAAGGCUUCCAAUCGAGUUGACACUUUACAUACACAUCAAACAUAAUACAAAGGCAUUACAAACAACAAUAAACACAACUACAUCACUCAACAAUCACAGAUCAAAGCCUCUCAUUCACAAUAUCGAAAAGUUGGCAAAUUUUGUUGAAAUAGGUGUUUAACCACUCAAAUCUCGUUUCUAAGAUUAGAUUUUGACUUCAUAUAUCCUAAAUAUCAUCUGAUUAUAUAUCUAAACCAUCAAUUUUAUCUAAUUACACCGAUCUAAUUUUUUUGGAAAAAAUAAGCUUAUAUGAUCAUUAAAAAGGAGAAAAUGUUCAAUUGGUUUAAAUUAUUUAAAAGAUUUAUUAAAUCAAGAUCAAAUACCUUUUAAUUAGAUCAAAAUGAGUUGAAAAUUACUUUAAAAUAGAAGCUUAACUUAGUAAUACGAGAUCUACCAUUUUCAAGCUAAAAAUUGGUUUAAAAUUGAUUGAUUUGUUGAAAUUUUAAUUAAAUCAAUUAAAAAUCGAAUUGAAAUAACAACACACUUAGUUUAAUCAUAAAAAUUUAGAAUCUCACCUCAAUUUGACAAAAACGACGAGUUUAAGAUCAAAUUCGAACUAGGAGCUGUGAAGAACAAUAGAGGAAUUGAGGAUGAGAACUUGAUUAUUCUUUGAAAUUGAAAGAGGAAUUUGUGUUAGAAAGAUUAAGAAUAAAGGAUGAACCAAUUCAAAGAGAAAAUCUCUAAUUUGGUGUUUGAGAAAAUUUUAAAUUAAG
RNAcentral lists this long non-coding RNA (1317 nucleotides) under Gossypium barbadense (sea-island cotton). RNAcentral describes it as "long non-coding RNA (GBAR_LNC015272)". Lineage: Eukaryota; Viridiplantae; Streptophyta; Magnoliopsida; Malvales; Malvaceae. The record is from RNAcentral.